This 468-nucleotide ribosomal RNA is filed under the name uncultured bacterium. RNAcentral's name for it is "partial 16S ribosomal RNA". It matches the Rfam family "Bacterial small subunit ribosomal RNA", at positions 28 to 507 of the family's 1533-position model. The record is from RNAcentral.
GACGAACGCUGGCGGCGUGCUUAACACAUGCAAGUCGAACGGAAAGGCCCUGCUUUUGUGGGGUGCUCGAGUGGCGAACGGGUGAGUAACACGUGAGUAACCUGCCCUUGACUUUGGGAUAACUUCAGGAAACUGGGGCUAAUACCGGAUAGGAGCUCCUGCUGCAUGGUGGGGGUUGGAAAGUUUCGGCGGUUGGGGAUGGACUCGCGGCUUAUCAGCUUGUUGGUGGGGUAGUGGCUUACCAAGGCUUUGACGGGUAGCCGGCCUGGGAGGGUGACCGGCCACAUUGGGACUGAGAAAAGGGCCAGAAUCCUACGGGAGGCAGCAGUGGGGAAUAUUGCACAAUGGGCGGAAGCCUGAUGCAGCAACGCCGCGUGCGGGAUGACGGCCUUCGGGUUGUAAACCGCUUUCGCCUGUGACGAAGCGUGAGUGACGGUAAUGGGUAAAGAAGCACCGGCUAACUACGUG